This 413-nucleotide unclassified non-coding RNA is filed under the name uncultured fungus. RNAcentral describes it as "partial contains 5.8S ribosomal RNA and internal transcribed spacer 2". The stretch from base 1 to 133 matches the Rfam family "5.8S ribosomal RNA", at positions 22 to 154 of the family's 154-position model. The record is from RNAcentral. Lineage: Eukaryota; Fungi.
UGGCUCUCGCAUCGAUGAAGAACGCAGCGAAAUGCGAUAAGUAAUGUGAAUUGCAGAAUUCAGUGAAUCAUCGAAUCUUUGAACGCACCUUGCGCUCCUUGGUAUUCCUUGGAGCAUGCCUGUUUGAGUAUCAUGAAAUCUUCAAAGUAAAUUGUUUUUGUUAAUUCAAUUGGGUUUCACUUUGGUAUUGGAGGUUCUUGCAGCUUCACACCUGCUCCUCUUUGUAAAUUAGCUGGAUCUCAGUGUUAUGCUUGGUUCCACUCGGCGUGAUAAAUUAUCUAUCGCUGAGGACACCCUGUAAAAAAAGGUGGCCAAGGUAAAUGCAGAUGAACCGCUUCCAAUAGUCCAUUCACUUGGACAAUAAUAAUUUUAUAUUAUGAUCUGAUCUCAAAUCAGGUAGGACUACCCGCUGA